AAGACUAUAAUUCCAGGGGUCAUUUCUACAGUUUACUAGACAAGUUUCUCUCAAUGUGCAAAGUACCCAAAACCAUAAGGAGGAGGCAGAAAAAAAUCUCUUCCAGACCCUGCUUUCAAUUCUUUUGGGUGCAAUUCCAGAGGUGCAAUUCCUGGAUCAUAUGGU
This is a small nucleolar RNA of Ailuropoda melanoleuca (giant panda), 165 nucleotides long. Its record names the gene U3. It matches the Rfam family "Small nucleolar RNA U3". From Rfam's summary of the family: Small nucleolar RNAs (snoRNAs) are involved in the processing and modification of rRNA in the nucleolus. NCBI's taxonomy places the organism in Eukaryota, Metazoa, Chordata, Mammalia, Carnivora, Ursidae. The record is from Ensembl.